CGAGGAGUCCAUUGAAAAAUAACGUGGUCUGGCCGUCAGACGACCAAUAACCGGAUCCACGUUCAUCGUCGUGCAGUUGCAAUGCUAUGCCAGCUCUGAUGGGAUCGGUAUGAUAAUGGAAGCAUAGAUUAACACAGGGUGAAGGUCGUGCCACCCUCUCAUUCUCGCACACUCGACCGACCCUUCCGGCAGCCUAUCCUCUGUGACAAUUACCGCUUCGUCGAGGCCCAACAAGCCAGAACCCUGCCGUAGCUGUACUCGCUCGGAAGGCUUCGCGUCAGCUUUCCGCCUGAUGCCGCAAGAUGGAAUACCAUGGUUCGAUUAGGCGAGUGGAAAGGUCCCGAAACCUCGAGGGCGAAGAAAUAAAAGAAACGAGUCUCCAUUCACACGGAGCGCAGCGCGUUCUCAUCGUAAUUUACGAGGCUGUCCCCGUAAAUUACGAUCCGCAGUUGCUCGUACGCUGCGAGCCAAUGCAUGUCCUCGUGGCAAGGCCAAGGUCGCGGUGCAACAAUCUUCCGCUGCGAGGUAUGCGACGUCGAUCGAAUGAACGGUGGCAACGAAAGUAUUGCGUGGGUGGUGCAAUCCUCGUCGGACCUGGGUUCACCAUGGGUACUACAACCCUUAACCUUUUCACGCAUUUCCUCGGUCGUGCACCCCCUAGUGUUUACUUAAUCUUGCAAAGAAUACUCUUCGAUACAAGUCACGCGUCUCUUCGCCUUUUCUCACGACUCGGUUUUCUUUACCGUCGAAGGCUUUCAAAAAGUCUGACACGACCACCUCGAUGACGGAGAUUGAUCAUCGCGUUGUAUUUUGCAAGCAACAAGAACGGAUCGGGGAUCCAUCACCCUACAAGAGUAGAUUAAAAUUGAAGGCGAACAAGUUCCCUUGUUAGUCAUGCAUCAUCGAUUAGCAGCGACCUCUAUUUUACGCUGGAAUCAAGUCCCGGACUUUCUAGAAUGCACAGUGAGUCACAGCUCUCCGAUAGCUACGCUACCCUCCACAGGUGAUGGAGAAUAUUCCAAGGUGAUCGUUUUUGUUUACUCUUCGACGCGUUAUUCCGAGAUUCCUGGGACUCGGUCUGCGACAACUAAUCAUGGGAAUUUCCUGGUCGAGUCGUUGCGCUAUUAUACUCCAACUUCCUAACCACGAGAUAACUGUCAUUCGACAAGGACGAAUUCGUCUGCGAUCUCCCUCAAAACGUGUUGUAUCGACUCGUUUCACUCGAAAGUUGUUUCAUUUCGAUACAACGAACGUUGCUUCGUACCCACCGUGCGUCGUGGAGCGUUCGACUAGGCGAUAAAAAAAAAAAAAGAAAUAUUCGUCACAAUCUUUACACGCCACUCGAUGCACGCGCGCUGCAUUAUAAUUGUACGUCGAUAAGACUCCGUGCGCCGAUAAGCUGUUCGCGCCAAGAUCGCCGGGUUAAUUCGGCCGGACCGAUUAGCACGAAACGUUUCCUCCUCUCUAUCCCUGUUAUCGAGAAUUUCUCCAGCGAGCACGUGUGCCUGAUUUCUCGCAACAACCGGCCCGAGAUCGCUAAUGCAAAGAUUGUCCAAAGUCGCGAGCCUCUCCAGCAGCGAAUGCCGGUGGUUUCGCUACCCUCGUCGAGUCCGCGAGUUUUCCAACAGCAAAUAGCUUAUAUUUCAUUGAAAGGGAGUCGCAGGAGGCCGUGGCGAACCACUUAUGCAUGCAAGAAGUGGAAAUCGUAAUUGACAUAUAUUACAAGGGGGUGCGUGACGAGCGAGCGUGCCGCUAAGGGUGUAACGCAAGGGUGGUCGUCCUGCGAAUGCUCCACGACAAGCGUACAGCGGAGGGAUAAAAGGCAACGAGAGUGCCGUACGGAGACGGGAUGCCGCAGUGAUUUACAUAUCGUCGAUCGGUACACGUCACGUAGGUUCGCGGCUCCCGUUGUAUACGCACAACAAACGAUCGCGCCAGCUCGUUCUCGCCUAACGAGAGACUAAUCGAUCUACUCGAAAUUCGGCUCCUUUCGAAUCCACCAUGCAUAUUCAUCACGAUCGACCGAUAAAUGAACGGAGGCACGAAUCGCGCCUCGGACUUUGACGUUUCGCGAUAACGGGAAAAAUAGGUAACAAUGUUAUCGUCUUAAAAUUACGUGCAGUUUGUCGCUUUCGUGUUUUCGCCACGUGCUCGCCCAUUGUAAAUCUGGAGCACAAAGGAAGGAAAAAAGUGCCGCGACGAGAGGCUAUGCAACGAGCUUCGAUUCGAUGGUAGAUGGGGUAUUCGCGGAGCGACGUGAAAGUUGGUUAAAACUUGGUAAAAACACGAAAAGCACUAAGCGAAUGCUAAACCCGGGAGCAGAUAGGAUCGCGACCGAUCGCGUAAUUAUACAAUAAUUUCGGGUAUAUCGCUGUCGAGAUCGGCGUAAUGAUAUGAAUUAAAGUUGACUGCGGUCGACCGUGCACUUUCUUUGUUUCUUUUCGCUAGAAAGCGACGCGUCGUCGGACCUGGGAUAUCGAAGAAAUUUACGAGCUCGAGGGGAUCGUUUAUCGGUGCAAAUAUUUUUCGUCCACUACGGUCGUUGUGCAAUUAAUCUAUGGCUAACUACGGCCAUGGAACGUGUUCCACGACCUAAAAACGAUAAGAACACGGCGAAAUUUGGGGCGAGACGCGGCUGACAUCGAGAUACGAUCCGUGUCGGGUCGACUCGACGACGGUCAUAUUUAUUUUGCAUCCGAUUUUGUUGACUGUAUCGAAACUAAAAAGGACAGAAAAUAUUUUCAGCGAACACCUAUGGAGUUAUCGAAAGUUUAUGUAUAUACAAAGAAAAAUUCUCAGCCCUCGAGGGACUGCGCCCAGCGAUCGUAGGUGUUCUGUUUGCAUUUGGAUAGAGGGUGUUCUCCGUGAUUUCGUGACGCAUGUAGGCCAGGUACGCGGCGCGGCGUCUGUCUCUCGUCCCUUCGUGACGAAUCGCGCAGGAGGUGGUCGGCACGAAUUUCAAGCCAGUCCGACAGUUAUUUCUUUCGAGAACGGUCUCGAGCGUGUUAUCCUUUAUGAAUUUACGUGGCGCAGCGAGAAAACGAAUGACCCUCUUAUUCGCGCGCGCGCAAGCCUCGACGGCGAACCGUUCUGGAAGAAAGGAGGACUCGUUAUCGCGGCGUGUCUCGGCGCGAUAUGAAAAUGAAGAACGAGCAUGUAACGCGCGUGACGGAUCGUCCCGGGCUCGAAAUGUGCCACAACGAUUAGAAAGAAACAAUCGCCGCAAUUAUUCACGUGUAAGACGCGGCCAGAUGGAUACUAAUUUAUUCACGAGGGUUACGCUACUCGUUUACAUCGCACUAGUAAUUAGUCGCAAAACCCUCGCUAAUAACGAGGUAACUUUCUAAGAAGGCGUAAGCCGUGGUCACGGUACAGCGUCGGUAUGAAACUAACAACGUCCAGACGAUGAUGUAUAACGUAUCGUGUAUAGAAACGACCUUAUUUCCUAAUGCAGUACCGAUACCGUAAUAUUUUUUUCUUGGUAUACAAAAUUAGACGCUCGAUACAAAUUGUAACGCGUUAAAUAUCAAAUUAUACGGUACAUUUUAUUCGUAUAUUUCUUGUUUAGAUAUGGUCCAUCUCUGGUUUUCGCCGAGGCUAGUGACAGUGACGCGAGCGACGUAAACAGGAAAGCAAUCGAACUCGAGGAGACAUCAAUGCCCGACGCAUCGUUGUUCCGCGUCAACUGCCCUGCGUCUGAAUUUAAAGCUAGUGGAUUAACUAAAAAAUCAUAUCGUUAAACAUUACUUGUUCUGCAGUUUUGUUUAUAUUUAUCGAUCAGCCCAGUUCGUAGCGAUACGAUCUCAAUCUGCCCUGCUUCGUCCCAUUCUUUCUCUGUCGAUUAAUUUUCAUCCUUUCAGGUAUCUCUCGACUACUCGAUUUGGAUCAACAGCACCGAUCGAAGGCGAUCGACGGACGAUGCGCGCGUGUAUUACGUACACGCUUGCGGGUUGGGUUUGCAGCAGUAAUAAACUGUUACUUCCGACCGCAGCAGUAACGCCGUUCGCGAGAGACGGCCAGAACAUAAUUGAUUGCGUCAACUUCCAGCCGCCCGUGAUUGGUGCUAUAUCUUCCACCGGUUUCACGUCACUUCCGUUACCUCAGCAACGGCGAUUUUUCAGCCCGUUAUCGCCUUCCGAAGCGUCACCGCUCCAUUGCUACGAACAAUCUACCGACGACGUAUGAACGCAACGUAUCGACCUUCGACAGCUUGCGAAUUGUUCGAAUCAAAGUUUAAAAGUCUAUCGAGCAUUCAUUUUCUUUUAAUUGUAUCUGUAUAUUUUCCGAGCGUCGGUCGGAGCUACUAUGAAAAAUACAAGUUCGAUGUCGCUCGUACCAAACAAAUGUCCCAUAGAGCGUAAAAGAUUUGUUUACGUAGCGAUAUCCGUAGCCGCAGGAGAUUUGUAAAAUCUUAAUCCCUGACCGACCGUACCAACGAUCCACGACGACUUGGUCGCGAAGCCUCCAAAGGCAGUUGUAGAAACGCGGUUUGUGAAUCGUCCGUACGGAGAACUUGGUGUUUAUUGAUCCCUCGCGGGGCUGACCAACGGUCAAUGAGAUACGGUCUCUCCCUUGCUCGCCGCCCUACGACCCGAGAGCCCUGCGUCGGUCUCCUUAACGGAAGUACGGAACCAACCCUCUCGCUCGCCGCUACUCCGUGAUUCAUGCCUCUUCGAAGACCGUCGAACGCGUACAAAAUCGCCGGAUGACUCCGAUACUCGAGACAACCGUCCUAUGUUUUCCAUGCAAGAUGGACGCGUAUUUAGAACCGUCCGAGAAGAACUACCAACCGUCCUCGACUGCUCGGUGCAGCGCGAAAAAAGCUAGUCGGAAAACAUGAAAAGUGCAAAUUAACGCGCGAUCGAAGCCUCCAACCCACUUCUCGCCCUUAUUAAUUCGGUUCUGUGGCGCUAGAUCCCGCGGGGAUUAGGUAUUUUAAUGACAGCUGGUCGUAAAGAAAUUCAGGUCGCGACGACGGGAAGGCGAGAGACGACGAAACGAAAAAGUCCCCUUCGACUGUACCAGCCGCGUUAUCGCGAGCGCUGAAGCAAAUAUAUGCAGACGACGCCGACGCAUGGAACGAUAACGAGACGUCGAGUAAAACGGGACAGCGUACCAUUUGGACGCGAGCAAAGACAAGGGACGAAAGGAAGGAUCGAAAAGCGUAGAGAAGAGGAGGGCUAGCCGUGCGCAACCGCAAACCCCAGCUGGCCAGCCCUUUUACCCUCCUUUGCGCUCGACCCUAUGGCGAUACUCCCACUUCUCGACCAAGUGGAACGCUCCUAUCCCCGCCACUUAACCGCAAGAUUCGCCUACGCGGGACCUCGAUCUUCUGUGCCACGUGGCUUUGGUAAACAACGGACAAAUCACCCUACGCGGAGUAAGCAAAUUCGGUUCGGUCGUUCGAUCGUGGGACUACGAGUCAUCCCAAAUAACAAGCAAAACGAUAACGAUAAACGAGAAUAGUUGCGAUGUAUAGAAACAAAAACGUCCAAAAAUAAUCCGUCCCGGAAGCGUUUUGCCUAACGAAUACGGGUCAAGGUUCAGCCGAGCUCGUUCGACCGGAUAUGGGUCACGGAUGUGCGAACACCGAUUCCCGUAGACUUCAAUCCAACGGAUCGGCAUGCAAAGUUGGUCGUAGAACGAUAACAUCGUGCACAAGCUUCGGCCACUUUGCAGGAUUAAGAGUUGACCCGACACGAGACUUAGUCCGAUCGAAAUAACGGAUCGUGCACGACCAGGUGCCAUACGUGUGCAACGAGCGGCAUGGUCACACCUUAAAACUGGAAAUCAGGCUGGGCGUGGGCCACCCUUAGCGUCGAAUGACGCAACGGAUGAAACCGAUCCUUCCUAUCGGCGCCUUCAUCGAGAUAAUGAACAACCUUCCAGAGGAAUCAAGCUGAAAGGGUCGAGCGUUAAUUGAACCGUUUUUCUGAGAACCAAUCCUUAAGUGUGCUCGCGUUAGAACAAGCUCGAUCAACUUUCGAGUCCUCCGAAGCCAGAGACGUGCUAAAACUUUUCGAGGAAUACAAAUUUCGAUAUUAUAUACGGUCGUUUCCCUCGUGAAAUUCUCGGAGGUAUCGCAAUUUUUACGCGCUCGAAACCAUAAUUACCUCGAUAGUAGCCAGCAAUAAUAGUCGCAACGGCGCGUUCUUUUUAGGUAGCCAAUCGGAUUCGCGUUGCGUGUGGCCUGCUUAAAGCCCGAUCUGGGCCAGAUUUACAAAGAUUACGGCCGGUAAUAUACGCAGAUUUCUUAUAAAUUGCCAUAUCGCGUCCUGGGCGCUCUGAAACUGGAAGUCGUCGAGCGGUCCACACGCUCGAACGAUGCGUGCCACGCGCCACUGGCAACGUUUACGUCCAACUGAACGCAAUCACUCGACCUCAUGAAUAUUAAGAAUGUGCAACGUCCGUCUGACCCACCCUCUAUCGUAUGAAUUAUACCAAACGAUAGGGUCGACGCCAGCCAGAAAGACUAUUUACUUUUGCGACAAGUUCUCGCACGCGUGGAAUUAUCGCCCUCGUAACCAGAUCGGUUCUCUCUGGUUCGCUCGGGAGAAGGGGUUAUUACCUGAACGGGCGCGGCGAGAUUUGAUCUACACACAUACACGCGAUCCUGUGUCUCGAGGACCUUAUUUCUUCUUCGUGCAAUGUAUCAGAUCGAACGACCCACUUUCCCGCUACCAGCGAUUAACAGCCCCGUUUUUUCUCCGACUAAUUUCACA
This is a long non-coding RNA of Hylaeus anthracinus, 6722 nucleotides long. RefSeq lists it as uncharacterized. NCBI's taxonomy places the organism in Eukaryota, Metazoa, Arthropoda, Insecta, Hymenoptera, Colletidae. The transcript is spliced from 4 exons. The record is from RefSeq and is a predicted model, not a curated record.